AGAGUUUGAUCCUGGCUCAGGAUGAACGCUAGCGGCAGGCUUAACACAUGCAAGUCGAGGGGUAUUGGUUUUCGGACCAAGAGACCGGCGCACGGGUGCGUAACGCGUAUGCAAUCUACCUUUCACAGAGGGAUAGCCCAGAGAAAUUUGGAUUAAUACCUCAUAGUAUGUAUGAAUGGCAUCAUUUAUACAUUAAAGUCACAACGGUGAAAGAUGAGCAUGCGUCCCAUUAGCUUGUUGGUAAGGUAACGGCUUACCAAGGCUACGAUGGGUAGGGGUCCUGAGAGGGAGAUCCCCCACACUGGUACUGAGACACGGACCAGACUCCUACGGGAGGCAGCAGUGAGGAAUAUUGGACAAUGGGCGCAAGCCUGAUCCAGCCAUGCCGCGUGCAGGAUGACGGUCCUAUGGAUUGUAAACUGCUUUUGCACAGGAAGAAACAACAUUACGUGUAAUGUCUUGACGGUACUGUGAGAAUAAGGAUCGGCUAACUCCGUGCCAGCAGCCGCGGUAAUACGGAGGAUCCAAGCGUUAUCCGGAAUCAUUGGGUUUAAAGGGUCCGUAGGCGGUCUUAUAAGUCAGUGGUGAAAUCUCCCCGCUCAACGGGGAAACGGCCAUUGAUACUGUAAGACUUGAAUUAUUAGGAAGUAACUAGAAUAUGUAGUGUAGCGGUGAAAUGCUUAGAGAUUACAUGGAAUACCAAUUGCGAAGGCAGGUUACUACUAAUGGAUUGACGCUGAUGGACGAAAGCGUGGGUAGCGAACAGGAUUAGAUACCCUGGUAGUCCACGCCGUAAACGAUGGAUACUAGCUGUUGGGAGCAAUUUCAGUGGCUAAGCGAAAGUGAUAAGUAUCCCACCUGGGGAGUACGUUCGCAAGAAUGAAACUUAAAGGAAAUGGACGG
This 903-nucleotide ribosomal RNA is filed under the name uncultured bacterium. RNAcentral describes it as "bacterial SSU rRNA". It matches the Rfam family "Bacterial small subunit ribosomal RNA", at positions 8 to 917 of the family's 1533-position model. The record is from RNAcentral.